CAGCAGCCGCGGGAAUACGAAGGGUGCAAGCGUUACUCGGAAUUAUUGGGUUUAAAGGGUGCGUAGGCGGCAUGCUAAGUCAGGGGUGAAAGACGGUGGCUCAACCAUCGCAGUGCCUUUGAUACUGGUGUGCUUGAAUGUACAUGAGGUAGGCGGAAUGAGACAAGUAGCGGUGAAAUGCAUAGAUAUGUCUCAGAACACCAAUUGCGAAGGCAGCUUACUAAGGUAUGAUUGACGCUGAUGCACGAAAGCGUGGGGAUCAAACAGGAUUAGAUACCCCCGUAGUCCCUGUCUCUUAUAC
This 301-nucleotide ribosomal RNA is filed under the name uncultured bacterium. RNAcentral's name for it is "partial 16S ribosomal RNA". It matches the Rfam family "Bacterial small subunit ribosomal RNA", at positions 509 to 807 of the family's 1533-position model. The record is from RNAcentral.